Molecule: ribosomal RNA, 252 nt
Filed under: uncultured bacterium
Lineage: Bacteria
Description: partial 16S ribosomal RNA
Rfam family: Bacterial small subunit ribosomal RNA
Source: RNAcentral
UACGUAGGUCCCGAGCGUUGUCCGGAUUUAUUGGGCGUAAAGCGAGCGCAGGUGGUUUAUUAAGUCUGGUGUAAAAGGCAGUGGCUCAACCAUUGUAUGCAUUGGAAACUGGUAGACUUGAGUGCAGGAGAGGAGAGUGGAAUUCCAUGUGUAGCGGUGAAAUGCGUAGAUAUUAGGAGGAACACCAGUGGCGAAGGCGGCUUUCUGGACUGUAACUGACACUGAGGUACGAAAGCGUGGGGAGCAAACAGG